Molecule: RNA transcript, 2480 nt
Organism: Sinocyclocheilus grahami
Lineage: Eukaryota; Metazoa; Chordata; Actinopteri; Cypriniformes; Cyprinidae
Gene name: heat shock protein beta-1-like
Exons: 4
Source: RefSeq, a predicted model, not a curated record
GACUGGAUAAUUUGGGAUAAAGGUUUAAUAGACAAGAACAGUAUAAAAGAAGUGAGCGGCAGCUUUCUGUAGCAUUUCACAAGUUCACUGUUGUAUCUGCAUCAGGUAUUGAAAGCUCCAAAAGUGUUUUUCAGUUUUUAAAUUGUUUAAAGAUGCCCCGUCCUUUGUUUCAAAGAAAUGGUUGCUGGGACCCUCUACAGGAAAAGACACAAAGCCUUUUCAACCAAAACACCGACCUCCCCGGUUUCCUCGAACCAGAUGAGGUUAGCUGGAUAGAAUCAGCAAGGAAAAGAUUGGGGACUUCAACCUGGCCAGGAUCUAUGCGUUUACCUCUCUUCAGCUCUUUGUGCAUGGAGAUUCCACCUAAACCAUGUACUGGAUCAGAAGGAUGUGUUUCUGAAUCUAUAUGUGAACAAAUGAAAGGACAGCAAAACUGGAACGUGUGUCUAGAUGUCAGUCCAUUUUCUCCAGAGGAGAUAAACAUCAAAACCAAGGAGGGAUAUUUGGAGAUAACGGGUAAUCGUGAGGAAAGGCAGGAGAAUCACCGGUUGAUCUCAAGAAGCUUUACAAGAAAAUACAAGCUUCCAGCUGACUUAGACCUAAAACAGAUCAACUCCAUGCUGUCUCCAGAUGGUAUUCUCGCAGUUGAGGCCCCAUUACCUGGCUCUAAUAUCAGUCUCCCUGGAGAGAUUGUCAUCCCUAUUCACAUGAUGGACAAACAGUUACCUGCAAAAUCAGAUGAGCUGUGCCUAACUGGUAACAAGUAAUUUACAGUUCUAGUUAAGGGUUAGGCAUAGCCCAUCUGAUUUAAUAUGUAUGUGUACAUAUGUGUGUUGAAAGUAAUGAAUGUUUUAAACCUUUUGUUUUUGAAAGCUAACAUUAGAAGAAUUUGAAAUACUGGCUUUGCAUGAAAAUAUUUAUCUUCUGAAUUAUUAACAAAACAUUACUAGAGAUGGUAAUAUGCUAAAUUGAUGAGUUCUGCUGUUACUUUGGUUUUAAAUACCAUUAUGCAAUACAUAAUUUGUGCUGUAUAAGAACUCUUAAGAUAAUCACUUGUAUGUAACCAUUAAGUACUAAAGAGAGAUUAGAUUUUCCAGUUCACACUUUCUCAGGCUAGAAAGGAAAGAAAGAAAGAGGCUUCAUAUGAGGCUUGUGUCAUGUAAUGCCAGGACAAUCCUUUUGAUUUUGAGAGACUAUUUUAGUACAUCUGUUUUGAGAAUGGUGGAAAUAAUAUAACAAUAAAGUAAUGUAAUUAUAAUUAACAAGAGACUUUGAACUGAAAUUGUCUGGGAAAAUCAAUAAAUAGGUAAGCAAAUAACUAAAUCUGAUCAUGCGGCUGAGCAGAACUUCAGAUCGCAUCCUCCAGAUGGUGCUGGUAUUUAAAGCUGUAGAGCUGACACCAGAUUCUCAGUGCGUUAAACUUCACACUACCACACUGCUUGUGAGGAAGGUCAUGACGCAGUCAGUUAUGAAACACAAAGCCUGCCUUCCUUUAGUUUCCUUGGGGUGUUUAGAUGUAUGGAGGCAGGUUUCUUUUUACCUACACAGUUUUACCUUGACUAUUUUUGUAUGUGUUCCACAGCUUUCAUCACAUUACUCAGGAGCAGUCAUCAAAUGACAUGUCUCAGUUACACUAGGCACGGUAAAAACAGCAAUGUGUUGACAUGCUCAGUAUUUUCCCUUUUUCUGUUACCUUGAUUUAGUAUGUUGGCCAGAUGACGUAUCCUUUUUACCCAAAGAUCUGUGUUGCUGACAGAUAAUCAAGCAUAUUAUAUGUAUAUAUCUAGCUGGUUUGAAUUUGUUGCUUAGGGCACAAAACAGCUUUAUCUCUGUCAUUCCUACAAGUUGUUUAGGGAUUUUACACAAUCAAAUGACAGUAUGUUACAGUCAAGUACAGUAAAUGGCUAUUAAAAACCUGACAGUAUAAGGAUUUCUUUAUUUCCUGGCUCAAUGAGUCAAUUAUGACUUAAUGCAUCAUCAGUUGUAUUUUACAGAGGCUGAGCCUAUUAAAAUUCUAAUGAUGAUUGCUGUUAGUAUAUGGCAGAUUAAAUUAAGUGCUGGAACUAGGCCUGUAAAUAUACACCAUAUAACACCAGGGCAUGUAGAACCGCCACUUGGCACCAUCAUUUAACUUACUGAGUGCACACAUGGUGGACAUGCCAGAAAUACGGCCCAGGGCAUCUCCAAUUACAUGACAAGUCUUAAGAUAUUCAGGAGGAAAGAGGGUGUUGAAAUAGUGAUGAUGCCAGUGAGCUCUGCAGGGGCCACUGCAGACGGUGGGGUCUGGUAUGAGCAAGUGUAAUGAGUGAAUGAAGAUUUUUGGCACAAUAAAAGAUUAGUUUGUCAACAUGUUCACAAUUCAGUGUUACAUGCACAACAUAAAUAUGCGAACAUAUCUGUUAUUUGCAUAUAGGGUAGUCUUAGUUGCCAUUUUAGGUGGGGAUUUGUGUGUGUGUGUGUGUGUGUGUGAGAAGUUUAAC